Non-coding RNA from Paenibacillus sp. oral taxon 786, 85 nucleotides. The record is from Rfam. Lineage: Bacteria; Bacillati; Bacillota; Bacilli; Caryophanales; Paenibacillaceae.
UAACCCUGUUCGUGAGAGCAGGCUGAGCGUGCAGAAGUCAGCCGAUGUCAUAGUACACAGCUUGUCGCGAGGGCUGUGGAAGGAC